GUGGGGGAUAUUGCACAAUGGGGGGAACCCUGAUGCAGCGACGCCGCGUGAAGGAAGAAGUAUCUCGGUAUGUAAACUUCUAUCAGCAGGGAAGAAAAUGACGGUACCUGACUAAGAAGCCCCGGCUAACUACGUGCCAGCAGCCGCGGUAAUACGUAGGGGGCAAGCGUUAUCCGGAUUUACUGGGUGUAAAGGGAGCGUAGGCGGCAGUGCAAGUCAGAAGUGAAAGCCCGGGGCUCAACUCCGGGACUGCUUUUGAAACUGUACAGCUUGAUUGCAGGAGAGGCAAGUGGAAUUCCUAGUGUAGCGGUGAAAUGCGUAGAUAUUAGGAGGAACACCAGUGGCGAAGGCGGCUUGCUGGACUGUAAAUGACGCUGAGGCUCGAAAGCGUGGGGAGCAAACAGG
Molecule: ribosomal RNA, 405 nt
Filed under: uncultured bacterium
Lineage: Bacteria
Description: bacterial SSU rRNA
Rfam family: Bacterial small subunit ribosomal RNA
Source: RNAcentral